Molecule: ribosomal RNA, 503 nt
Filed under: uncultured bacterium
Lineage: Bacteria
Description: partial 16S ribosomal RNA
Rfam family: Bacterial small subunit ribosomal RNA
Source: RNAcentral
AUUGAACGCUGGCGGCAGGCUUAACACAUGCAAGUCGAGCGGGGUGAUGGUGCUUGCACUAUCACUUAGCGGCGGACGGGUGAGUAAUGCUUAGGAAUCUGCCUAUUAGUGGGGGACAACAUCUCGAAAGGGAUGCUAAUACCGCAUACGUCCUACGGGAGAAAGCAGGGGAUCACUUGUGACCUUGCGCUAAUAGAUGAGCCUAAGUCGGAUUAGCUAGUUGGUGGGGUAAAGGCCUACCAAGGCGACGAUCUGUAGCGGGUCUGAGAGGAUGCUCCGCCACACUGGGACUGAGACACGGCCCAGACUCCGACGGGAGGCAGCAGUGGGGAAUAUUGGACAAGGGGGGGAACCCUGAUCCAGCCAUGCCGCGUGUGUGAAGAAGGCCUUAUGGUUGUAAAGCACUUUAAGCGAGGAGGAGGCUCUUUUGGUUAAUACCCAAGAUGAGUGGACGUUACUCGCAGAAUAAGCACCGGCUAACUCUGUGCCAGCCGCCGCCGUAA